The sequence is a small nucleolar RNA, 87 nucleotides long. It matches the Rfam family "A. fumigatus snoRNA Afu_294". The record is from Rfam.
UCACCUGAUGAACAUCAAUAAUUUCGCUGUGUUCUUUCCGAGCCAACGCAUUGACGAUACAACCCAAUCACCUUGGAGAGCUGAAUA